AGACGUCUACAUUAGAUACCCCUGUAGUCCAGGGUGUAAACGCUGCAGACUUGGUGUUGGAAGUCCUUUGGGGGCAUUCAGUGCCGGAGAGAAGUUGUUAAGUCUGCUACUUGGGGAGUACGUCCGCAAGGAUGAAACUUAAAGGAAUUGGCGGGGAGCACCGCAACGGGAGGAGCGUGCGGUUUAAUUGGAUUCAACACCGUAAAACUCACCAGGGAAGACUGUUACAUGAAAGCCGAGAUGAAGACUCUGCUAGAUUUUCAG
This 264-nucleotide ribosomal RNA is filed under the name uncultured archaeon. RNAcentral describes it as "partial 16S ribosomal RNA". It matches the Rfam family "Archaeal small subunit ribosomal RNA", at positions 714 to 982 of the family's 1478-position model. The record is from RNAcentral.